Gossypium arboreum is the source of this 1263-nucleotide long non-coding RNA. RefSeq lists it as uncharacterized. The record is from RefSeq and is a predicted model, not a curated record. The transcript has 2 exons. NCBI's taxonomy places the organism in Eukaryota, Viridiplantae, Streptophyta, Magnoliopsida, Malvales, Malvaceae.
AUUCGGUCCACCAGAAGCACCAACAUUUUGGCCAGCUGGAAACCAAUUUUGACCAAAUUGAACUUGAUUUUGACUGAAUGGAUAGGUAAACCUCAUUCUUUGCGCAGAAGACCCCCAUAUUUAGAAGCAAAAUUUCGUUGCAGUGUAGGAGCAAUGGAUGGAGCAGACAAUCCCAAUACUGGCGGCGAACGCGACAACCUAGGAGUAGACUGAUCUGUCAACUCGUCAAAGUCACGAUUAAACCGGUAAAAACACCGUUGAGCAAUAUGUCCGUACCGACUGUAGAUCUAGCAUUGAAUGCGCGGCCAAAACCUUUUCCCACGGCCACUGGAUGGAGGGCGACCACCACAAACUGACCUUGCCGAAACCUGCGACAGAUCUCCUUCUACAAGAUUAGCUUGCAUGGCCACCUCCUGAACCGCUCGUAGCUGACGGUUCUCACAUUCAAGCAAAGCCUCAACUAAUCGUUGGAACGGCAUCGGCUCCGAUGAAAGAGAUGCCGAGGAAACAACAGUAUCAAACUCAUAUGGUAAACCUGCAAGCAUGACCUAAGUCUUCUCCGCCUCUGGAAUUCUCGUGCCAGAAGCUUCCAAAAGAGCACACAAAUUUUUAAUACGAGCCACAUAAUUCUUGACAGAAAGAGUACCUUUCUUUAGCGAGUGUAACUCGUGAUGAGUCCAGGACUACUUAGCACCAGUGUUGGCCACAAAGAGACUCAUCGCUGUGUUUCACACAUCGCAGGCCGAUCGAGCAUUCGUGGAGGAAAAAAAACACGAGGUACUAAUCGUGGAUAGGAGCCACGAGGUAAGCAACUGAUCUUGUUGCUCAAACACCAGUGCAGACGGAUUAGCAACGAGGGAACCGUCUGAUGAUUGAACGAAGCAUGACGGCUGAGGUGCCUUUAUCAAGUUUCGCAACGUCAUGCCGAGGGAAAGAAGUCACCACUCUAUCGCCACUAAAGGCUACGCAACCACCAUCAACAGAGGCAGAGUCGAUGGAGUUCGUGGUAGCCAUAGGACUGAGGAUCACCCAGCGACUGAUACCAUGAAGAAACUUAGGUAAACUUAGAUUCAAGAGAAGCAAAGACUAAGCUGCUAUGAAGAAAAAUCAAUUAUGUAUUUAGACUUCAAAACUUGUUUCUGUAUAUUUUGAGCAUAAUAUUUUUAGAUAGCUAAGCAAUAACUCUUCUUAACAACUUUGAUAACAGACUUAGCCAAAUGCUAACCACUUUGGAUAACAAUAUUAGUGUUGCUUAACACAUAA